Long non-coding RNA from Gavialis gangeticus (Gharial), 770 nucleotides. RefSeq lists it as uncharacterized. The transcript is spliced from 3 exons. Lineage: Eukaryota; Metazoa; Chordata; Crocodylia; Gavialidae. The record is from RefSeq and is a predicted model, not a curated record.
GUCUCAUAAGUUUGAGCACUACAUGGACAGUCCCUACACUAAGGCUGUAACCAGCUAAUCUGAUGCCUUUCCCAGCAAGCUGCAAAACUGAAAGCCAUCCCUUCUGCAGAGAAAAGUGGCCCUGGCCCUCAACCUGGAUGAAUUCCUGCCAGUGAGAAUUAGCCCCUUUCCAGCUUUCACAGCAGCCUCUCCCAGGACCAUAUGGACAAGAAACAAAUCCAGCUAUGAAGAGGCAAGAAUUACUGAAUAUUCUGGGUAUAAACUUCCAGGUAAAAUGAAGUUGCUGGGCUAAUGCAGGUAUAACAGAUGAAGACUGCAGCACAGCAGAUGCAGAGAAAUAAUAGCUAUGACUAGGUUAAGAGCCAUCACUUUUGUUCAGAAAAAGCCACAACUGCCCUUGUUUAUAAAUAUCACUGUACAGAAGAUAAUGCGCCUGAGAAAACACUAAUGCUGUACAGAAAUUGUAUCUCUGAACAUGUCACCAAUGUAAAACUGAGCGCAGGCUAAUGUCUUAAUUUUAAAAUGCAGACAUCUUAAUAUGCUAUGUAAAUACUGCAGAGACCUGAAGAAUACACUGUGCUCAGAAACUUGUCUAAGUCUAUCCCAGCCACACAGUUGGCUGAUAAAAGAUAUCACCUAUAAAAAUCCUUGUCUCUUCAAACUACUUAAGUUUGCUUGGUCUUCAUUAGGCCAGAAUAAGUACUUGUACAACUCUCUUUUAGUGCAAUGUCCAAAUAUUUUAUUGGUUCCUUCAUUUUUGACUCCCAUGU